Acromyrmex echinatior (Panamanian leafcutter ant) is the source of this 770-nucleotide long non-coding RNA. RefSeq lists it as uncharacterized. The record is from RefSeq and is a predicted model, not a curated record. NCBI's taxonomy places the organism in Eukaryota, Metazoa, Arthropoda, Insecta, Hymenoptera, Formicidae.
GUCAAGAGCUUUUCAAAAUACUAUAAUAAAGUCUCUUUUUAAUAAGUAUUUUUCAAGUUAUAAGACUUGGAAGUUACAAUACUACUGGCAUUAGCAUUAUGUAAAACCAUAAUCAGACUAUGUAUUGGAGAUUGAGAUUGCAGAUUGAAAUAUAGGGCUCCGUCUAUUUUUCCAAUCUUCAAUCUCAACCAAUAAGCUUCUAGUAUUUAAGUCACGUGGCUAACCUCACCAAAUGUAUUGGUGUAUGUACAAAAUAAUAAGUUAUAACGGGUUAUAAGAAGUACAAACACAGCAAAAUUAAACAUGCAAAUAAAUGAAAUGCGUAUUCAAUAAUUUUUAAUAUGUGUGAUUCUAGCUAUCCGAUAUUUCUUACUAAUUUCAAUCUUACAAAAAUCGUACAAAAUGAAAUAAGAGAUAUAACUUCCAACUUCGCCUUGAUUUUAACAAAUGUUAUCUAAGACGUGAUCCUGAACAACACUCAAAAGCUUUUAGCCAUCGAUUGAACACCUUGCUGUUUUGGAAAGCUAUCAACAUCAGACGCUAUUAGAUUCUGGAAUUAAAAGCUAUCAACACCAACGUUAUUAGAUUCUGGAAUCAAAAGUAAGGUGUUUGUUAAAAAAAAUCGAUGUAAUUGAGCUGACCUUGGCGAUACCUGAAAUCAAAAAUUGUAGAGUUCAAAAAGAUAAAAUCAAUAAAUAGAUCUUUUUGGACCCUACAACUUUUGAUUUCAGGUAUAUGCAAUUCAUAUAUAUAUAUAUAUGCAAAAACAA